RNA transcript from Pistacia vera, 2217 nucleotides. It is a transcript of the gene named alpha-latrocrustotoxin-Lt1a-like, with no coding region annotated. The transcript has 5 exons. NCBI's taxonomy places the organism in Eukaryota, Viridiplantae, Streptophyta, Magnoliopsida, Sapindales, Anacardiaceae. The record is from RefSeq and is a predicted model, not a curated record.
UUCUAAAUCACCGCGGCAAAAACCCGGCAGCCACGCCAUCGCUGUCGUCAGGCCACCACUCUCCACCAAGAACAGCAUCAUAUCUAUUGAUUUCCAUUGACUCACCUCUACCCUUGAAAGCCAACAGCUCCACGAAAUUCUAAAUUUAUAAUUUUUUGUAUAAAGUAAAAAAAUUCAAAAUAAAAACUCAAAAUCACCAAACCCUAUCAACAAAGGGUCGGGUGAGGUAGAGAUGCGACGGGAGUGGAGUGAGAUGGAGGUUGCGAGGUCCGACCUAACGGGUGGGUUAUGGGCAACGGGUAGGUUGCAUGGGAGAGCGGCUGUGAUGGGGUGGGGCCGUGGGGGGCUGGAUAUGCAUGACCUGCGCACUAGCGGAGUCGUGGGGCAAGUGAAGAAACGAGUCUGAUGGUUUUGUUUAAAUGGGCCCUUCUUCUAAAUAAGCUAGCUGCAGAUUGCAUCCAAGGUGUCAAAAGAGAUUUACAACGAAUAACGAGCAAAUAAAUAAUGAAGGAUAAUGUUGAAGUACCUCAACUGAAGAAAAUGUCGAGAUUGUGAUUGCUCCACCUCAUAAAAAAAUGGAUGAUUGCAAGGUUGUUGUGUGAAACGAGAAAUAGACGCUUCAUAUUGUAUCGGGCUGCACUGGAAGGUGAUUGGAACAGAGCUGAAAAAAUUUACAAUGUACAUAAAAUUGACCUAACUACCAAGCUAUCAAAGGAAGGGGACACAGCUCUCCAUAUAGCAGCUGGCAAAGCACACUGGUUUUGUGAGAAAGCUUCUUGAACAGAUGAAAAUAGAGGAUUUAGCUAUCAAAAAUAAUGCCGGUAACACAGCUUUUUUUCUUGCUGCUGCGUCUGGAGAGGUUGAAAUCAUCAAGGCCAUGAUGAAGAAGAAUGGAGACUUAACAAAGAACCUAGGUAAUAAUGGCAUUUUACCACUUCACAAGGCAGCUCUGAUGGGAAACAAAGAGAUUGUACAAUACCUUUAUGGAGCCACUCAAGAUGAAAAAUUAGAUAAUGAUAAUGAUCGCAUCGAAUUGCUUAUCAGCCUGGUAAACCGCAGCUUGUAUGAUUGUUGUAUUACUAGAUAUUGCGCUGGAUUUGGUACAGAGGCACCCAGAGCUAGCCACUGCACGAGAUAAAAAUGAGGAGAUAGCAUUGCACUCCUUGGCUCGAAGGCAUGUAUUGACACGUGUUGUUGAUCUAACAGCACAUGGAGUUUUGAAGAAAAUUUUUAAUAUGUGUUAGUCCUCUCUAAUCUUUAACACCUUCAGAAUGUUAUAAUUAGUUCUUAUUCCUUUUUAUUUUUUUAUUUUUUAUUUUGUUUGGAAAAACAUUAUUUUUUUCUUUGAACUUGAUUGAUUAGAUGUUCCUCAACCAACUACCGUAGGAAGUAAAGGAAAUUUUGCAUCCACUGGAUGCUGAAGCUACAAAUGUAGAAGGGAAAACAGCUAGGGCUAUAUUUACUGAACAACACAAAGAGUUAAAGGAUAAAGCUGAGAGAUGGAUUAAGGAUACUGUAAAUUCUUGCUUGAUGGCAGCAACAAUUAUUGCCACUGAGGUUUUUGCAGCAGCUUUAAAAGAAACAGGCGGCUCCAAAGAAAAGACUGGGACUCCUCAUUUUGUUCAAAGAGCUUCCUUCAUAAUUUUUGCCAUAUCAGAUGCCAUAGCGCUAAUAUUAUCCUCUUACUCCAUACUAAGGUUCUUAUCUGUUAUCUGUUCCCGAUAUGCAGAAGAAGAUUUCAUUUCGCCAUUACCUCUGUUUUUGGGUUCUGGAUUAGCAGCACUUUCUCUAUCAAUAUCAGCAAUGAUGGAAGUGUUUUGUACGACUAUGUUCAUUGUCUUCAAAGAUGGGAUGCUGUGGAUUCCUAUUCCUGUUACGGUAAUGGCUUAUUUCAUGAGCUUCAUGUUCUUGGAGAAAGUUCUAACUAUCAUUGAAGAUGUAGUGCGUUUUAGCAAUAAUAACAGGAGUUCACUCUUCAAGUCCUCUGCUGAAGAGCCUUUUUAAAGGUGGGAAGAAACUCGAUGUACCUUAACAAUUAGAAUAGUACUUAACAAGGGCGUAUUGGGCGCGCAGAAUACGAGCCAAGGGCCCUGUUGUGGACCGCCCAGCACUCGGGCGCUUUUAUCUUAUAGAUUAUGAGUUUGUAUGAUUAGAGCCAUGUCUCGUACAAAUAAGAGUGAUUCUUCUUAUGAUGAAUGCUACUUAUAUUUUUAACUU